CAGUAGCCGCGGGAAUACGUAGGUCCCGAGCGUUGUCCGGAAUUAUUGGGCGUAAAGGGAGCGCAGGCGGACAUAUAAGUCCAUCUUAAAAGUGCGGGGCUCAACCCCGUGAGGGGAUGGAAACUGUAUGCCUUGAGUGCAGGAGAGGAAAGCGGAAUUCCCAGUGUAGCGGUGAAAUGCGUAGAUAUUGGGAGGAACACCAGUGGCGAAGGCGGCUUUCUGGACUGUAACUGACGCUGAGGCUCGAAAGCCAGGGGAGCGAACGGGAUUAGAUACCCCUGUAGUCCCUGUCUCUUAUACA
This 301-nucleotide ribosomal RNA is filed under the name uncultured bacterium. RNAcentral describes it as "partial 16S ribosomal RNA". It matches the Rfam family "Bacterial small subunit ribosomal RNA", at positions 509 to 809 of the family's 1533-position model. The record is from RNAcentral.